Pogoniulus pusillus (Red-fronted tinkerbird) is the source of this 931-nucleotide long non-coding RNA. RefSeq lists it as uncharacterized. Lineage: Eukaryota; Metazoa; Chordata; Aves; Piciformes; Lybiidae. The record is from RefSeq and is a predicted model, not a curated record. The transcript has 2 exons.
UGGUGACCUUUAAAGGCCCUUUCCCACCCACGGCAGUCUGUGAUGGCUGCUGUAUGGGUAUAUAAACGUCCAGAGAGCUCAGCUCAGGGGGUAAAUCCUCAAGGGAAGGGAUGAUGCUGACUGCUGCCACUGCUGGAAGGUGGAAACAAGAUCGUUUGGGAGCAGAGGAGUCUCCUCAGCUGUGUAAGCUUCACUCCUGCUACUCAGAAACGUGCCACACAGGAGCAGCUGGUGAAGCUGGGCUGUGCCAGCAGCAGGCAAACUCAGCCUGCCGGGGAUGUCCCACAACCUGCUUUUCCUUGAGGCUGGACUAGAUGACAUUCAGAGGUCCCUUCCAACCCAGACCACGGUAUGAUUCUAUGGCUCUGCCAUGCCUCUGAACACAGCUGCAGACCAGUGCACUACCCACUCGCUUUUUAGUUUAAAAAAUGCCCCAAUCUGUUAACUUCUCAGUGAGAGACUACUGUAAUUUUAUGGAGUUCACUCAUGUUUCUUCUCAAUGAAAACAUCCACCCCUUGAGCACUUGCCAGAGCACAACCCUGUCUCUCUUCCUGCUCCUUUAGUAUUUCUUCUCAUUUCCUCAGCUACCUUGAGGGGAGUUUUGGGGCGGUUUUUUUCACGAGUUUGCCCCCAAACCACCCAUCCCAGCUUCCACCCUUCUCUAGAGCUGCCCUCCCGAGCCCCAGGGCAGCUUUCCCAUGGCUCUUUGCCUCUCUCCAGCGCAGGGCUCCCCUCGGGGGAGCGGCUUUCUCCAUGAAGCCCACCCCGGGGCGAAGCGGCAAGGGGCUAAGUUUGCGAUGGCCGGGCCGGGGGCAAGACCCCCGGGUGGAAGUGACUGACGGCGAGGGCAAGCCCUCCUCCGGCUCAGCGCUGCCCCCCUGGGUAGGAAGCUGAGAAAGUGAGAGAGGAAAGAAGCGGAGCGAUCUCCGC